This 253-nucleotide ribosomal RNA is filed under the name uncultured bacterium. RNAcentral describes it as "partial 16S ribosomal RNA". It matches the Rfam family "Bacterial small subunit ribosomal RNA", at positions 524 to 776 of the family's 1533-position model. The record is from RNAcentral.
UACAGAGGUCUCAAGCGUUGUUCGGAUUCAUUGGGCGUAAAGAGCUCGUAGGCGGUUUGUCGCGUCGAAUGUGAAAACCCGGGGCUCAACCCCGGGCCUGCAUUCGAUACGGGCAGACUAGAGUUCGGUAGGGGAGUCUGGAAUUCCUGGUGUAGCGGUGAAAUGCGCAGAUAUCAGGAGGAACACCGGUGGCGAAGGCGGGACUCUGGGCCGAUACUGACGCUGAGGAGCGAAAGCGUGGGGAGCGAACAGG